AUCCAGCUGACGAAUCGCAAAUAAAACGAAACCACGCGUUCUAGAU
Molecule: non-coding RNA, 46 nt
Filed under: Schistosoma mansoni
Lineage: Eukaryota; Metazoa; Platyhelminthes; Trematoda; Strigeidida; Schistosomatidae
Source: RNAcentral